RNAcentral lists this ribosomal RNA (671 nucleotides) under Pseudomonas aeruginosa. Its description in RNAcentral is "bacterial SSU rRNA". It matches the Rfam family "Bacterial small subunit ribosomal RNA", at positions 37 to 706 of the family's 1533-position model. The record is from RNAcentral. Lineage: Bacteria; Pseudomonadati; Pseudomonadota; Gammaproteobacteria; Pseudomonadales; Pseudomonadaceae.
UGGCGGUAGGGCCUACCAUGCAAGUCGAGCGGAUGAAGGGAGCUUGCUCCUGGAUUCAGCGGCGGACGGGUGAGUAAUGCCUAGGAAUCUGCCUGGUAGUGGGGGAUAACGUCCGGAAACGGGCGCUAAUACCGCAUACGUCCUGAGGGAGAAAGUGGGGGAUCUUCGGACCUCACGCUAUCAGAUGAGCCUAGGUCGGAUUAGCUAGUUGGUGGGGUAAAGGCCUACCAAGGCGACGAUCCGUAACUGGUCUGAGAGGAUGAUCAGUCACACUGGAACUGAGACACGGUCCAGACUCCUACGGGAGGCAGCAGUGGGGAAUAUUGGACAAUGGGCGAAAGCCUGAUCCAGCCAUGCCGCGUGUGUGAAGAAGGUCUUCGGAUUGUAAAGCACUUUAAGUUGGGAGGAAGGGCAGUAAGUUAAUACCUUGCUGUUUUGACGUUACCAACAGAAUAAGCACCGGCUAACUUCGUGCCAGCAGCCGCGGUAAUACGAAGGGUGCAAGCGUUAAUCGGAAUUACUGGGCGUAAAGCGCGCGUAGGUGGUUCAGCAAGUUGGAUGUGAAAUCCCCGGGCUCAACCUGGGGAACUGCAUCCAAAACUACUGAGCUAGAGUACGGUAGAGGGUGGUGGAAUUUCCUGUGUAGCGUAAAAUGUGGCGUUUGAAAAAAA